This 776-nucleotide ribosomal RNA is filed under the name uncultured Neocallimastigales. Its description in RNAcentral is "partial large subunit ribosomal RNA". It matches the Rfam family "Eukaryotic large subunit ribosomal RNA", at positions 26 to 629 of the family's 3401-position model. The record is from RNAcentral. Lineage: Eukaryota; Fungi; Neocallimastigomycota; Neocallimastigomycetes; Neocallimastigales.
CGCAUCUGUGCAUGCAGCAUAUCAAUAAGCGGAGGAAAAGAAACUAACAAGGAUUCCCCUAGUAACGGCGAGUGAAGCGGGAAGAGCUCAAAUUUGAAAUCUUAAAGGGUUUCCCUUUACGAAUUGUAGUUUAAAGAAGUGUUUUCUGUUGAGGUUUUGGUAAAAGUUCUUUGGAAUAGGACAUCAUAGAGGGUGAGAAUCCCGUAUUUGACCCUUACUUUCAACUUUGUGAUACACUUUCCAAAGAGUCGGAUUGUUUGGGAAUGCAGUCCAAAAUGGGUGGUAAAUUUCAUCUAAAGCUAAAUAUUGGCGAGAGACCGAUAGCGAACAAGUACCGUGAGGGAAAGAUGAAAAGAACUUUGAAAAGAGAGUUAAACAGUACGUGAAAUUGUCAAAAGGGAAGCGUUUGACACCAGUGUUGUUUUUCUGAAAAUCAAUUAAAGAACUGUUUAUGCUAAGCUGUUUAGACUUUAUCAGCUAAUCUGUUUAGUUUUGAGCUUUUCCUUAAUGCACUUUUCAGUUAACAAGUCAACAUCAAUUUCUUUUGCUGUAAAAAAGCUUGAGGAAGGUGGCUUGAGAUUCGUCUUAAGUGUUUAUAGCCUCUUGCCUAUGCAGUCGGAGAGAUUGAGGUCUGCAGCGUAGCUCCUUCGGGGCUAAAUGCAUUUGUGCUAAGUUAUAGCAUUUCAUAGACAACUUGUUGACUAUGAUUUGUCUUGUAGCUUACUCGCUUAUGUUAUUUUACCUACGCUUAGGAUGUUGACAGCAGUAUAGACUGU